CCUACGGGUGGCAGCAGUGAGGAAUAUUGGUCCAUGGGCGCGAGCCUGAACCAGCCAAGUAGCGUGAAGGAUGACUGCCCUACGGGUUGUACACUUCUUUUAUAAAGGAAUAAAGUGAGUCACGUGUGCCUUUUUGUAUGUACUUUAUGAAUAAGGAUCGGCUAACUCCGUGCCAUAAUCCGCGGUAAUACUGAGGAUCCGAGCGUUAUCCGGCUUUAUUGGGUUUAAAGGGAGCGUAGAUGGGUUGUUAAGUAAGUUGUGAAAGUUUGCGGCGCAACCGUAAAAUUGCAAUUGAUACUGGCAGUCUUGAGUACAGUUGAGGUAGGCGGAAUUCGUGGUGUAGCGGUGAAAUGCUUAGAUAUCACGAAGAACUCCGAUUGCGAAGGCAGCUUACUAAACUGCCACUGACAUUGAUGCUCGAAAGUGUGGGUAUCAAACAGGAUUAGAUACCCCGGUAGUC
RNAcentral lists this ribosomal RNA (460 nucleotides) under uncultured bacterium. Its description in RNAcentral is "partial 16S ribosomal RNA". It matches the Rfam family "Bacterial small subunit ribosomal RNA", at positions 338 to 795 of the family's 1533-position model. The record is from RNAcentral.